This is a long non-coding RNA of Cynoglossus semilaevis (tongue sole), 1713 nucleotides long. RefSeq lists it as uncharacterized. The transcript is spliced from 5 exons. Lineage: Eukaryota; Metazoa; Chordata; Actinopteri; Pleuronectiformes; Cynoglossidae. The record is from RefSeq and is a predicted model, not a curated record.
GGAGGCGGAGUCAGGUGGAAAAGGAAGUGUGGGCACAGGGAAACAGGAAGCAGGAAGCAGGAAGCAGGAAGCAUUAAGGAGCAUCAAGGAAUGAAACAAGGGGGAUAAAUGAGAAAAGCUGGCAGAGUACUCCAGGAAAAAGACAUCCCCGCCCCCACAGCCGCCCUCUGACACCAUGUACGACAGGAAGAUUUGACUGGUGAGGCUCAGAACGAGCAGGUGGAGGGGAGGCAUGAAGGGAGGGUGGGAUGAACCAAACAGAGUGAUACAGCAAAGGAAGAGGAGGUGAGGUAGGAGUCGGAGGAAGAAAGCUGGAACUGAUUCCAAAAUUUGUGUAAAUGUAAAUGGGAUAUAAUAAAGAGACUGUUUGGCAUUCAUGGGAGUGGGUGGCAAAGCAGCACAAGGAAAUUACAGCUAGAAUGGUGAUGCUAAUGCUCCCCCUCCUUUUCCCUCUCUCUUCUUACUUGCUCUCUUGUCACCUUUUUAAAAAUAUUUUCCAAGUGAUUUAUACAAAGAACUUGAUAUAUGUAUCAUCAUGUUUACUGAAAUACAGUAAUGGUCUUGUUUCAGUUUACUCACGAUGUACUAACUCAGUAUUAAACCCUCAGCCUUUUCUGUUGAACAAAACUCUGGUAUACUCGCAGGAAUUGAAGAAAGACACACAAGCUUCCUCCAACACCUCCUCUCCUCGGCCCCAAAUGGUUUCACUCCUCCAUGCAGUUUUCUAUGACAGGUGACAGGUCUUCUGGGCCAGCGAACUUGACAGACAUGAACACAUCACUGUCUCCAUGUGACUACUCUGACAGGCUGCCAGGGCCAAGCCACGGCAGACGUAAGUAACACGUUACAGCCUGAGCGCUAACACACUCUGACAUAUGCUCCCUGACAUAUGGGCUUCCCACUCUUUCUGCGAUGUACCACUGAAGAUUUGUGAUGAAUGUUCCUUCUUUUAAUCCAGGGUUUUUGAUGGAUUUUUUUUCCUUCGGUCUUGGAAACGACAUCUUAAAUGUAUUUGAAACACCACUUACUGAGAUGACAAAUUAAGUAUUCGCAGCAGAAAGAUCUCUCAAGUCAUUGGGUUCUGUUAAUCAAGUUUCAAUUUAGAGAAGGAAAAAGCCCAUGUGCUUUAUCGUUAGCAAACCCAAUCAACAGGCUUAAUGGGAGCUAAUAGGCUUCUGUCAUCAUGUGAAUGCAGAAUAUAAGGGCAUUAAAAACUUAACUUAAACCUCCACUUCUUCCUUGUCUCAUUCAGCAAAGGCAUCAUCAAUCUGUGGUGUUUAAAACCUGCUGGAGUAAUAUGCUGUUGUGGUUCUGCUGCUGUUAUGUAUAUUAUAGUCAUUUUAUUCCCCCUGCCCAUUCAUCCUUAGGACCAACAUUACAAGGAUAAAUUUCGACCAUGAGCUUGCAUGUAAAUCACAGGCCUUCCAUCUUCUUUAUAUGACUAUGCCAUUUAUAGCAUGUGUCCAUAAUGAUAACCCAUCAAUCACUUAACAAGUUCCCAGCACUUAUUGCAUAGACCCUAAAAGAAAUCAUCUCUAAUAUGAAACAUAAAACAAAUUGUAUAUCAUAAUACUCUCCCAAAGGUAAUGUGUGAUUUUUUUAAACAUAAGGAAUAAUGUAAUUUGAUAAACAGAGUUUUGUGGUUUGUUAAAAACAGACACCAUGGAUACACAGUGUAUGCUACCGCCAAGCUUUUACACACCAGUAAUUCAU